Non-coding RNA from Anas platyrhynchos (mallard), 16343 nucleotides. The record is from RefSeq and is a predicted model, not a curated record. Lineage: Eukaryota; Metazoa; Chordata; Aves; Anseriformes; Anatidae.
GUUCCUGUGCCACGGGGCAGUGAUGCCACCUGGUCCUCAGCCCACCAGGAAAGCACUCGGUGCUGCAGGAGCACAGGCUUCUGCUGGUGCCUGUGAUGGAGACACCUGGGGGCGUUGGCAGGAUUUUAUUUAAUGCUCUCAAUCGGCUGCUGGGGCUGUUGAGAAACAGGUGCCUGCAUCUCCUCUGGGGCCUGAGCCUGUCCUGGCCGCCGGGUGCUGCUGCAGGGGCUUGGAGUUUGCCUCGUCCUGCUGGCUGCUGCUGCUGCUCCCUGCCUGCCCCUGAGCACCUCAGUAGGAGUCUGCCAUUCCUUCAAGAAAGAGGCGUACUUGCCAAAACACCCAGAUGCCGCCUGACUUCUUUCUAGGAGACAAAAUAGGAGAGUCCCUUGUCUGUGCUGUGCUCCAAACUUGGCCAUGAGCAUGCAGAGAACAGGUGGGACUGUGCCCUUGCAUGGACUGGGCGGCUGGCGGGCCAGUAUGGGAGCAGACCGAAUUAACACAGAGGACACAAGUGGCACAUCCCAGAGCCCUGGCGGAGUCACCCUGAGCCGGUCGUACUGCCGUCCCUGCCGCCACCUCCUGCACGUGCUAUUCAAUGAGAAACAUUUCCAGAAACUUGCCAGCAGGGCGGUUCUCUAAGGAUGAACAUUUGCUGAAAGCCUGUUUUAAAGGAUGUGUGUGUAUUCAUAGAAACAGACCUUCGCAUUCUAACACACGACUGACUACAGUGGGAGUUGUCCUUCCCACAGCUACUGAGACGAAACUGGGCCUUGUUACUUAUUUUAUCAGUUGCAGAUAAGCAAGGUCUUUGUGGUUUUAGCUGUGGAUCCUCAGCUCUGCAGGGCACUGCCAGCCCCUCGGCACAGCAUCCUCCAGCUCCUCCUCCCGCUCCCCCCAGGCUGGGGCAGCUCCUUCUGCUCCGCGUUCAUGGCAGCACCUCCAGCUCCUGGGGACACAGAACCACAGCCCAGUUGUCACCAUACAGCAGAGGGAAUCUUUGGCAGCGUUUCAGUGCAUCACUAUGCCAGAAAGGUGCCUUUGGAAGACAGAAAUAAAUUGGAAGCAUGGGGAUUCAUUGUGAAAUGCCUGCCAGAGCUGCAGCCAUUCCUGCGAGCACUUCCUGAGCAGCUUAUGAAUACCCUGGAGAUGCAUGUCCCAGACAUCUGACGUUUAGGACCAGCAUCCCUUGCACGUUUGGCUGUGUGCAUCUUAGGCAGGCACCGUGACCCUGAAAGAAGCAGCUGCACAUCUGUUUCUGCUGAGCAGUCACCUGCGCGUGAUGCAGAAAGCACCGGAGCGACUUCGCUGUGAGCAACCAGAGCAAGAACUUGGGAGAGCCGGACUCUGGGAGUCUGUGAAGAUGGACUAUAUUUUUGGCAUAACAUCACUGACAGGAGUGUCUUGGGAGCUACAAAACAAUUUACAAAAUAUAUCAAGGUAUGAAACAUUAAUUUUUCAGUUUUCCCCACCCCUAUAUUUUGGGUGAAAUCUCUCUAAAACUCCCACCCAAGAAAUGAUAGAGAGAGAAACCCCUUCAGCUCGGCAUUCCCAGGUGGGAAUAGCUGAAAGCCAAGGCUUGAACAUUGCUCUGCCCCAUCCCAGAGGCUUGCUGGGGGUGCCAAAACCAGCCACGAACAGAUCAUCCUAGCUACAGAGCCACACGGCCAGGACCUUGUAUCCACCAUCCAACAUGGGCAGGCAUGGCAUCGCUGCUGCUGGCAUGCGAACGGCCCUUCGUCUGCCUGGGGUUUUCGUAUCUCUCUGUAUUUAGUGUUUUCUUGAACUGAAGAUCAAAAUGCAGCUGCUGGAUAAUGGCGUUGGGAAGAUGCCCUGUCUUCCCUGGGGGAUUUCCUCAGUAGGGAGGUGCUUGAUGUGGUGUAUCUGGGCACAAAAGGUUAAAGAGGGCCAGGGUGCUGCUUGUCCUUCCUCCUCUGCCUGCAGGAUGAUGGCAGGCCCUGCUGCUCUGACAGUGCUUGACACAGGUUUGGCAACAGAUAGCAGCAAAGUUCAGAACGACAUUUGGUGUUUCUUUAGUUGGCUUUGAAAGAUGUACAUUCAAAACAGUGAAAGCAAUGGGCCCAGCUGCAAAAUACUGAUCUUGUUCUGCAACUUCAUUUAGAUAAAUUACUUCUGUGAGUUACUAAUAAAAACAAAUGUUGGCUUGUGUCAGAAUUAGUGAGCAAUUCUGAUAACAGGAGCAUCUAUUUUUAGUUUUCUAUUAACCCAGUUCAGCCUAACAUCAAGUUGUAUUAAACUUAGAAGAUACAAAUAGGAUCCAUGCUGGUUGGUUAUUUGCCUCGAAAUAUGCCAAAAGCAUCUCUUCUGCUUCACGUAGCAGGUGGGAUAAAUGCGUAGCUGAAGGCAAGUUAUCUGUCAAGGCUCAAGCAACUCUUAUCAUCCGGUGUGUUAGUAGUGCGUGUUGAAGCAUUAAGUAGGGCAGCAGGCUCAAGCCAAGGAAUGAGAAUAGCAGAGGGCCACCAAAGAUGUGGACCAAGGACCCUGCCCUACAAAGAACAUUUCCACAGCUGGAACAGCUGCGCUUGGCUGGCUGCACGGCACGGCUCAUGGAAAAGCAGGCAGCCCGAGGCGCUUGUGCACGAUGCUGGGAAGGUUUUGGCAUGGCAGAUGCUGCCUCUGCAGAAGGAGGCAUGUUAUUAGGGACGUGUUAGCAUCUGCUUUUGAACAUUUCUGCUACUGAUGAUCGAGGAGGAAAUCACACACGGGAAGCUGAACGCCUGGUCCUGUGUCAGCAGAGCUGAAUGCCAGAGGCACGGCACUGUCAGUCGCAUCCUUCCCAGGUGUGUUUGUCCUCCCAGUGCUGGGCUGUGGGGGUUAGGGAGCGGCCUGUGGGCUCUUCUGCUGGCUUCUUGAGAAACUGAGGCCCAAACAGCAUGAUUUGGUGUUUACCUAAUGAAGUUUUUUGCUGUUUAUUGGAAAAUUUGUUUAAUUAUCUCAAAGGUUACUAUUUAGAAUUCAUAUCAUAUGAAGUUACAUUUUCUUCCAGAGCAACGUAAGUAAGAAGAAACAGAAGGUAAACAAAAAAAUCCAGACCUAGUUUAGUUUCACUUAGUUUAGAGCACAGAGAAUAUGCUUGAUGAUAAUUCUUGAGAAGUUUUGCAAGUUUUCUUUCACUGAUUCCCUUUUCCACCCUUUUCCAAAUUUUUAGAUUUUAUCGUCUAAUUUUAUUUUAUCAACUAAUAGUAGCUUUGACAUUAAGUGCAUUGCUAAAACAAUUAGCAUGCACAAUUAAAUUUCUACUUAUACUAAUUUUUCUCUUCAUGGGAAGAAUUUUAUUUCAGCUCCUCAUCAUUUUAAAGCAAUCUGCAGAAAAAGUAUCAUUAGGAAAAUUAGGCUGAUGGCAUUUGGGGUGAGCUAAACGCACUGUUAAGCAAAUCAGAAAUUAGUGUAAAUUUCUUUCAUUUGACUUCAUUUGCUGUGGAUCAAGUUUGAUACUAAUGAUGAAAAACAGGUCAAGCUUUUAAAAAUAUUGAUGUCUUUCCGCACAACAAAACUGAAUAAAAAUGCAAAAGUAAAACCUAGAUUAUUUUUUUUUCAUGAUCUAAACUGGAAUAUUUUUAAUAAUUCUUUUUUCUAUUGAAACCAAAGUGCAGUCUGUCUUAGAGAACAUCAUGUGUACAUGAAGAGCCUUCAAUGUAUCGGAAACAGGGCAAGGUAUGCCUUGUGUGUGCCAGCAGAAGGCAGAGAGACCUUGGUGGAGCUGUGAAUAUCCACAUCUGCCUGGUGCCAAGAUCAGGUUUUUGUUCACUGUGCUGCUCCAGAAGUGCAGAAAAAAAAGUGGAUGAGUUUAGUCCAGCAUGAUAACUGAUAAUAUUUGGGAUCAUUUGUACCUAAUGACUUGUAUUUUGCUGCUUCACACUGAGCUCAGAUGUUGCUGCAUUUUGGGAUGCUCCCUGAGUCUUGUUUUGGUGCAAAACCACUUCCUCUGUGGCACAGCUGGUCCUUGGCCUUUGCUAGUGCAUGGCUUAUGUGUAUUGUGAAAAGGCUCAGUACCUGGAUUAUAUCUUGUGAUGGGACAAAUAUGUAAAGGGUAGGAGAGAAAAGAGAAGAAAUUAAAUGCCACAAUUCUGCAGUUACUUAUAUACCUGUCUAAUAGCAGUUGGAGUAUUCAGGGUAGAGGAUUACAUGUCAUCAGUACACUUGGGGUAGUAUGGAAAUGUAUCCUGUGGGCAAUAAAACACCAAGGCAUAUGGAGAAGCUGCUGCUGACUAGCAAAAUAGCAAUCAAUAGAUAAUACAAAAGGAGAAGAGAACAAACAUACAAGUAAACCAACCAACCAACCAAAAACAAACAACAAAACAAAACAAAACAAACAAACAAACAGACAGAAAAAUACAUUACCCCAAGAGUAUUCCAGAAAUUUUGCUAUUUGUUGAAUCACUUAACAUGGUGUUUGGUUGCAUCAAUGUCCUCUGUCAGAGCAUUUUUGCAUCAGAAACCAAUGCAUUAUUUACAAUGUAAACGAUCAUUUUGUAUUUAUUCAAAAGCCUUUUCAAUUGUGCUUUGUUAAAUCAUGAGUAAAGCCCUGAAGACAGAAGUCUCUGGACAGUCUGUGCUGCAUACUGCUGCAGCUCAUGCCCUCUUCCUCUGAAGUCAGCAAAAGCCACAGCAGGAGAACACAAGAAUACCUGGGCCCUUUUCUGUGCCUAUCUGAUAAGACCCUGAGUGUAUCAGGUACUAUGGCAAAAUGUUGGAAGGUUCUGAAGGGCUGGUGGUUUCAGCAGGAGUGUGAGUACUCAGAAGAUACACGGAUUGGUGAGACUAAAAGCCCAUCUCACUCCUAUGAGCCCAACGUGAGAGAAGGUGAUCCCAUGCAGGAGGUGCGAUUGAAGGUAAGAUUGAGAAAGGGUUGAAGAUGAAGCAGAAGAUAAGUCCCAUGCUCAGAAUCUCCUGAUCAAAGACAGCCAAAUACUGAAAGUUUGCUUCACUGUAUUUUCCUUCUCGCCUUUCACUGGAUGUGAAUGAACAGGGAAAUCUUCCACAUACUCCCUCAGUGUAUAAAAAAAGAUGUGCUUUGAUUUGAGAAUGGGAUGCCGUUUUGACUGGAAUGGAAGAAAGCAUGUCAGUAGUUUAACAGUUGUAAAAUUAGAAGGAAAGAAAACCCCAAAGAGAUGAGAAAAUAACUAGUAUUAAAGCAAUAGAAUAGUUUUAUGCUAUAAUAGCAUUCUGUGCAGCUUAAAGCAGCUCAAAGCAAUGCUUUUCACACAGUAUCUGCCAAAUCCUAUCAGGAGUGUAAGGUGACAUUAUGAAGUCUCCAGAUGUAUUUUCAUGUCAUUGGGCUGAUUUGUGUCAUUUGAUGAAUUGCAUGUUUGUAAAAUCAAUGUUAUUCACCCUGUGUAUUUUGCUUUUGUCAAAGUUCUCUGCUACAGACAAUAGCAAUUCAUAUAAGAGUUAUCACUUCAUAAGAUCUUACCAUCACUUUAUUAAAAAAAUUAAUUUUCCAGUAGUGUUGGUAUAAAAGAUUAACGGGGUACAAGAAGAGACAUUAGGUAAAUUCUCUUUAAUUUUGCCUAAUCACAUCUGCUAUUUUUUUAACAUGAGGCAAAAGGGAAAAUUAAAUCUGCAUGAGAGGCGCAGGACAAACUCUUGUUCUCUUGCUCAUGGCAGCUGAGCCCAGGACGGGUCCAUUAACCCCUGAUGUGGCUGGGGGAUGGCUCAAUCCCAGCCUGCCUGGGCUGGACAUGUCACAGGCAAUCAGCUCGAUCCUGUGUUACCUCUCAGGGCUUCUCCAGCUCCUUUCAAGGAAGAGAACGGGCAUGGUGUGCUGAACUCGAGGUUCUGAGGAGUACUCACCAGUGGUGAGAUGAACCCACCUCUGCUGAGCACUAGGUAAGACGUGCACCUGGGCUGGCAGGAAGGGCUCUGUGUUUGUGUAGGCACCCCAGUGAAGUGAUAGGUGGGGCUUUGUCUUCAGCAGAUGUGUGCAAUAAUUAAUCCUGUGAAGGCUUAGAAACCAGAAAAAUGUCUGCAGCAGGACACUGAGUGGGAAUGCUUUUAAUAUGCUCUUGAUAGGUGCUGGUGAUUUUUUAGCUGUAUUGAAUUAUUUAGAUGGAGCCUUUUGGUCCUCCAGGAUCUGUGCUGAAAGUGCUGUGGUAGGCAUUAUUCCUCCGAUUUGAGCAAUGACCUUGCAAGUGAGGAACAACUGCCUGUUACAGCUUAUUGCCAUAGGUAAAAUCGUUCUGGCAAGCACAAGAUAAAAAGAAGAGCAUCUUAGUAGUAAUAUCACUUGCGACAGCGCGUUGUUUACAGGUUUAAUGAUCGCUUGCAGAUCAAUGUACAUUGCAGGAAGUCUCGUUCAUCGCAGUUUUGACUUGAUCAUUACCCUGUGGCAAGUUCUCCACACCUUUCUGACAACCAUCUGCACCCCCCCAGCAGUUUCCUUUGAGCAGUGCCUCCAUGAUGCGACCACCUCACACCUCCCUCUGGAAAGCCUUUGAAAUACCUACAGACAAACACAGAUCAGUUACUUGUCCUUUAAGGUGCAAAGGGAGAGAGGUGCAUCACUGCUGUUUCCUGAAGCUGAAGUGUUGAGGACAUGCAUCAAAUCCAUGUAGUGGAGGAGCAUCACAUGGGAAACACAGCCUUCAAGAGAGAUUUUAAUGGCCAUCAGUGGUGCAGAGACCAUGCACCAAGCAAUGCUCAUUCUCCAGAUAUGCUCAGAGGUGGCCGGGCAGCCAAGGAGCAAACAUCCCUGCACUGACCCUGCACUGGCAGCAUCCUGGUGGCCUGGACCGAGGGAAGUAAGCAGGCAAUAAGAGCAGCCGGCACUUUGAAAAAGUGAUGGAAGAUGAAACUCCAGUAAGAGAUCCUGCAUCUUAACAGAGUUGUCAGCAAAUGACUUCUGUCCCAAUGUUUUGGUGCCAUUUUUCCUGAGCUGCCUGUGUAAUCGAUGGUGAAUCUUUACAUGCCCAGAGUGAGUUACUCAAAUCCAAAGCCGUUCUGGAAACGGUCUGUCUGACAGCCUUUUUAUUGGCAAAGAAGCUAUUUAAAUGAGAAACCUGUGUGAGAGAUGAACUGGCUGCCCCGUGCGAUGGCAAGCGGAAGCUGAUGAAUUCUGCUCGGGCAACCAGGAAAGAAGUAGUCAAAGGGACAAGGCUGAUGAACUGAGCUUAUUAACUUGACUUGGUGGUGAUGAGAGUGGUAUUGACAGAAAGGCUGCAGUAGACUUCAAACACACUUCCUGAAGUCGUGAGUUGAGAGCGCUGCUUUGGCAAAAAGUGGGACCUGCUUUACACGGGGAUGCAAAGUCUGCAGCGGGAGCCUCAUCGUCAGGAGCUGAGCACAGGUCAGGAGUUGAAAGCAACGAAAUAUAUCCAUCUCCUGCAGUGGGUGGGAGCUGGAGACCAUCAAAGCCAGCCCCACUGUGGGCAUAAUCGAGGUGAGUGCUGAAUCACGGGAUGAAAGGGACCUGCUGGAGGAACGAGUCCGCUUGCUUGCUAUUCACAGCUCUUUAAAAGUGUGGGGAAAUUGACCAUCACUUCACUAUUCUCCUUGCUGAUUCAUCUGGCUAUAAACUUUUGAACAGGUUGCUUACUGCUCCACUCAGCUUAUUCUCUAUUAGGGUAGAUCUACAGUCAAGUGGUCCUUAAUGAUACACAAACAUCCUAAUAACAUUUGUAAAUUGAAUCCUGGAGCUGACUGGGACUAUCUCUAAGUGUCCAAUGUGGAAAAUAAUUUCUAAAGUCCAAGGUGCCACCAAAACACCUUUACCAUGCUGAAAUAUGUAGUAUAACAAUUAUUAUUUUUUUCUUCUUACAGAGGACUGCUCCUUUGUAGUUUUCUUCCUGAGAUGGCUUCCUUAGCCUGGGAGACUACACGCCACAGCUUUUGCUUAGUAUGACUCUGACCUGCUUGUGCUUGAAUAAUGAGUUCUUGUUAUUUGUUGUUUUCUCUAUGCCUCUUUUACUUUCUGUGUGGACAAAAGCUAUCUAACUUCCACUAGUAACAUUUUCUGUAUCUCUGCAGUAUCUGCCCUCAUGUCCUGGAUGUACGCUGUGCGCUAGUACUAGUAGUGCUUGUCUUUCAUGACAUCCACUUGUUGCUGGUCCCCCAAGGACCAGCAGAGAAAUGCAGAGGAAAUUGACAGAUCUAAUUUGAUCACUGCUUUGUCAAAUAUACACUUAAACAUGUGAAGAUUUGUCCAGAAGAUUUCUGCCUCUUAUUACAUUUCUUCACGUUAAAAGGUACUUUUUGUUUGGUUGGUUGGUUUGUUGGUGGUGGGUUUGUUUGUUUUUAAUGAAGGUGAAAGAACUAAGUGAGGCAACCUGAUAUCUUCUACUAAGCUGUCAGUUUAAUAUGUUCUGCCAAUGUCAAUACUGUCUAGUCAAAGCACCAAAUCCUGGUCGUCUCCAGGUGAACAUCCCUUUUUUGUGUCUGUUUGCAAGCCAGGGGCUGUGCUUUCCAGUGUGUUUCCUAAGUUGUAGUCCAAUGCAUGUUGUUCUUGGCCAAGUUUUCUGUGCAGUGGGAUAACGGAAAGACGUAGAUCCCGGUUGUCAACUCAUUCUCAGUGGAGAAAAUGAACAAUUGUAGUUCUUUAAAUGGUGAAGAGGAAUUAGUAUUGCUUGUUACAGCUCUCAUAAUAAGCAAGGGUUUCAUGGUGGAGGAGUUGCACAAACCCACCAUUUCCCCCAAUGUCCAUAUUGGACUCCUUCCCAGGCAGUCCCGCGUCACCACGGGGCUUUGUGGGCUGCGUGGGAGGGUUCUGCUGCAAAGCUCUUCUGCUCCGACCCACGGUGCCAUCUCGGUUGUCACAGAGACAGAGAAAUAGCUUAUCUGGGAAUGUAUUUCUUGGUGUGGUUUACGAAGGAAGAACUGACUUUCAGUUUUAUGAGAGUCGUCCUUGUAAGCCUUGCCUGUGUAUUGGUUUGUAUGAGUGGUUUGAACUUGAGGCUUUAGUCAUUAGCUCUUAACAAAUUUGUUAGUAUUUGAAACUAUGGCCAUCUCUUCUGCAACAGAAAGCAUCUUUGUUUCAAUGCCUUCCCCUUUUCCCUCCGUGUUAUCCCUGCUAUUUUUUUCAUGUUACUGCUCCUGGAGAAUAUUGAGGCAUUCUCUCAAAAGAGAUUCUUGUAUUUAUUGCUGAACAUUAUGGUUACUAUUGUGUAAAGAAUAUGUGAAAAUGUUUAAAUCAGCUCUUUUGCAUUCACUAACUUGUAUAAAGCCUUUAGAAGCAUGAGAAUUAGAGGGAGUGUCAUUGCCUGGUCUAAGCAAUAGCAGAUACACUACUUUGAGGGCUAAAGGAACUUAUCAGUAUCCAAAUUAUUCUACAUAUAAAUCAUUGCCAGGAGGUCUGGAUCACAUGCUGAGUUUUUUGGCCUCACCCAUUUGUCCUCAGUGAAGUCUCCAGAAGCUCUCCAUGAGGAUAUCACAAAGGAAAGGAUAUUGAAAUUUCUGGGAGGUUAAACCAUACAUCUAAUUGUGGAAAGCACAGGCAUGGUGGUACUCCAUGUUAAAAAUAUCUGUCUGUACACUUAGGGAGGUGAAGAAUCCUGUAAAUCAACACCCAUGUCUAUUCUGUCAUAGCCAUACAAUUUAGGGGUUACCUUAGAAUACUUACACAGAUGCAGGUGUUGUUUUCCUAUUUUUUAACUUUUUGUUUUGGUAGAAUUAGUAUUUGCUGAAUUGAUGUGUAUAAAUUUUUGUACUUUCUGUUGCCUAUGGCUAUUGCACUUCAGUCUUUGAUCUUGCACGCUAAGCUGGUUGGAGGUUGGCCAGUACUUGGAUGAGAGAUUUCAUACGAAUUUCAUGAUGCUGGGGGGAGUUGUUUUUGACUGGAGAUGGCACUUUCUGCUGUGAGUCAAUGCUGAACAAAUACCCCUGGAUGGCACCAGGGUGCCUGGAAUGCCACAGGCUCCAUCUGUAGAGGAGACAUAAAAUGUGGCCAUGCAAUCUGAUUUCCUAUGAAUUACACAUGUCCCGGCCAAAAUAAGAUCUAUGUAAUUAAUCCUGCAGUCAAAAGUUUCAGAUAAUGUAUUAUCACUAUCUGUCCUAACCUAUUGCUGAGGUUUUCUGUGCACAGCUGCAGCAUUCCUGAGAAGGAUGAAGAAGGAGAUCACGUCUGUGGACAGAUAUAGUCAUUAUGACAGCAUUUAUUGUUGUGUAUGCCUAGUGUGUGGUGAGGUGUGCAGGUACAAAACAGGUAACCGUAUAAAUGUUUAGCCAGUCAAGAAAGCCUGUUAACUCCCACUUGAAUAGAGACGUGGUUGUUUUUGUACACACCAUGGCCCAUAGACCCCUUCCUUUCCCAAAGGGACAUGUAAUGAAUCUUGGCAAAAGAGGUGCUUGGGGCUGGAUCCACAAAUCUCUGACAGACCUGGGGAGUGCGCUUUGAAGGGCUCUCUGGUUCUGCAUGGGGAAUGUCCUGUGGUGGGAGAUUUCCCUACAUGAAUGUGGAAAACAGUGGUGAAAAACUGGCCGUAAUUUUUAAAGCAUGGACUUUUAUAGCAAUAUUCUGCAAACGGUGUCUCAUUUGCUAUUAGAGAGUGACCCCUUAAUCACAUUGACAAGUAAUCACUCACAUGAGUAAUCCUAUUGACAUCAGUUGGACUGGAGCUGCAUCAUUAUAAUUUAGCAAAUAACUACUCAGUUGUUUAGAAUAUAAAUGCUUCUAAUUUAUGUGGAAAUUGAAGGCAUUUCUAUCUCAUUCAUUAAAGAAAACAUGUUGUGAAUUAUCACUUACUUAACAUAUCCAAGGAAAGGCAGUUUCAAAGCAGCAUAAUGCAAUAAAUAGAAUGAAUCUUCUUUUUAUUUAUUUAUUUAUUUAUUUUUGCAACCAGUGGCUAUGUGAGAUUCACGGUUAAUGUUUCCUGUGUUUUUCUAUUACCCAAAUGGUAAACUCAAGCUGAAUUUAACGCUGGCUUCUUUCCAGAUAAGUCAUUGUCAGUGGUGAAGACCUUUUGUUUUGAAUUUGCUUAGUUUAUUGGUUAGUGCUGGAUGACUCCAGGGUGGUCCUGCAGAGCUGCAUGAAUUUAUAGAGUUAAUAUGAGUGAGGAGCAAAAAUAUUUUUCUGCUGGAGAUUUGCUGAUACAAUGCUUGGGUUAUUCAAAGAGUGUGGACAAGCUGUAAUAACCUGUUGCAUUUUUUGUGGACUGGAGUAUGACUCCACUUUUUUGGAAGCCAUGAAAGCCAUUGUUUUGCCAAAUUCUAGUUUGGAAAUUGGAUCUCCUCUCCUUAAACUUCCCUGCAGUUCCAUGCUAGUCAAACCUUGCCUUUAGCACCUUUUCCCAAGCGGUGAUCAGCAUUCAGCUGCUGCUACGUUGAGCUCAGAGGACAGUCAGACUUAGUCCAUGUUUUGGGGUCCUCCAGGUGGAAUACUGCAAUAGCCAGCACCACCACUGCCCUUGUUGACUGUCUUUGCACAAGCAUAAUAAUUUUCCCUUAUUUUCAGCCUGGUGAAAUGUUAGGGGUUUAAAUUUUUGAUUAGGCUUGAAGGUGGUAGGCGUUGCCUAGAUAAUAGUUUUUUAUAGCUUUUAAGGCAAUUUAAGACAAGUACUGUUUUCCUCUGAUCUGUCCAUCACAAACUCAAUCCAGCAUUCAGUGAGGUGGUGGGGAAGCCUUUUCCCUUGGUGCCUCUGGGGUCCCAUGUGUGUGAGGGGUGCCAGACCCUGGGGUCGUGGACAGUGACCCAGGCUGAGACUGCUUGGUGUCUGGCAGCCUCAGAGCUGAGGUGAGACAGGGAAGAGCUGAGAAGCUCUUUGGGUUUCCCUCUUUCUCAGUGGGAUCUCAUUUUGCCCUGUGUACACUAGAUAGCACGUACUGCAAAGAGCAAUACCUGGUGCUGCUACCAGCUCAACUGCAAGGUGUGGAGUGGGCUGGGGAAACAACAAAUGUCUUCUAGAAUAAAGAGAGAAUGCAAUGAAGCAUAUGAACAACAAGAAAAUCCAGACCCAAGUGUGUGUAAAUACAUAUGGCACAGCUUUUCUCAAGCCACACUUUUAUUUGUUUUGGUAGCAGAGUUGGAAUGCUAUUUUUGUCUCUUCUCCCUUUGUUCUUAUUGUGAAACACAUUGUCAGAGCAUUCCUAAUCAGGAAGAGAGGAGUUUCAAAUAAGAGAUUGUCUCUUUUUCAGGGCAUUCUCCCACACCUGAGAAAUGGAUGCAUUUUUGGUAAAUACUAUUUUUUUUUUUUUAGGAAAAAUUGUGUGCCAGCUGAAAUUCAUGCAUAAUUUCCUGCAUAGCCAGGAUAGAUAGCUUAAAAAGAAAUCUCUGUAGUAACACAGGAAGAAAAACAAACUGAUAACUCCUGCCAGAUUGAUGGCUUCUUCCUUCAUCUAAAUCUUUAUAGAUUAGCAUGUCUAUUUUCUUUUCAUGGAUAUGUUUGUUUGCACUAUAUCAUCUAACCUAAUCUGUAAGGGAAGUAUAUUUAUCCUCGAGCUGUGAGGCAUUUAUACUGUUCACUUGUCACCAAGAAUAAUGGAGAGGAUAGGUAAGAUAAUUUCAACUGUAUUAAGGGCUGAGAGAUGACUAUAGGUAUUUUGAUAAUGGGACACUCAGAGUGAAUAAACUGAAAUGCUUUUGUUACAUAUUAGCUAAAAAUAUACCUUCCGUUAUGUAUUUUUCCUGUUUUUCUUCUGUCCCACUGCUGAGCGAGGGCACCUGGUGUUGCUCAAAUCCAGGUAGACAUCAGUAGCCACUGUGGGCUCAGCCAAGGGACCACCAGGGUGAAAGAUGGGAGGGUGCGUGAGGAAGAGAACCUCCAGUUCACAGACAGUGGUUUAGUUACAGUGACCUCAGGUUGCAAUUUCCCCACAGUUCCCCCCCUCUCUUGUAAGUGGCAAAUAGUUCUGAAGACGGGGGAGACACCUUUGGGCACAGUCAGUGCCAGGGGUGAUGCAAAAUUCCUGGUCACAAAGGUACUUCUGGAUGGCAGUCGGCUGGGGAUUUAUCUCCAGACCUAACAAAGCAGAUGAUGUCUGAAAGCCCUCUCCCAGUCUUUAUUCAGUGGGCAGCCCACGUGCAGGUAAGACUAUGUUAGCUAUCUGCUAUUUCGUAUUCAGGUGUCAAAAGAGCUUUCCUGCAGCCCUGCUGCUUUGCCAGAUGCUCUCCAUUUUCUGUGCAUUUGAUCCUUCCUUUCUAAGCAUAACUCUUUGUAACUGCCUUUGCUACCUUUCAUCUUACUGAUUUCACAGUACUUCCACAAUCAUCAAGAGUGUUUUGAAUUCUGAUCCUGUCCUCCAAAGUGCUUGCAACCACUCCCAGCUUGCUGUCAUCCACAAAUUACAUUAGUAUCUUCUCUACUCCAGCAUCUGAGCCUGUUCAGGAGCCUCCACUUCGUCUGUCCUCUCAGCUUCACAGGGGACACUAAUAACCACUCUUUGAUUGGUGGUUUUCAAUAUAUUUGUAGCUACUUUAUGUUAGUCUUAUUUAGGCUAUGCUUUUUUUUAGCUUUAUUUAUAAAAUUGUUUUAUGGAAUUGCAUAUAAAAUCUUGCUCACUGAGAUAUGCCGUACCUCGUAUGUCUGCAGUGAUGAGGUCACUUACUCCCUCCUGUGCUUUCCCUCCCCUUCUCUGCCCAAAUCCUCCAUAAGUUAGACUUUUUGUUAUUUAUUUAUUCUUGAGAAAUUUAUAAACUUAUAUUGGCUAUGUCUCUUGGGCCACUGUCUAAUCUUCUAGGUGAUGACAACUUGAUUGAUGAAUAAUAGAUUUCAGUAUCUUCGCAGCUGCCAAAGGGAGUUGUAAUUUCUAAAUGCAUCCCUUAAGAUAGAAGUAGUGUUUGUCCUUCUCCACGAGUUUGUGUUUAAUCAGCUCAGUUGUCUUUCCAGUAUUGAAAAGCUCUUUUCAUUGUAAUUUAUAACAGAAAUAUUCAGAAAUAAGCUAUUUACAUUGUAUGACAGUGUAGAUUAUGGGUCUAAUGUUUAGAGUGCUACAGAAAUUCUGUAAGUGAUAUUCCUGGCUCUAGAAAAUUUUAUUAUUUAGUAGGCAUGGUAGACAACUGAAAGAACUGAGAACAAAUACAAAGGAAAAAUAAUUAAAGCGCUGAGGUUUAGAUUAGUGGCACAACAGAGGUUGAGUAUUUUGGAAUUUUUUGAUGGAGUAUGAAAAAUAUGGAAAAAAUUAAGCUGGUCACUUGAAGAUACUCCAAAUUGAAAAAUAAUAUGAAAUGUAAUUUUAUCCUUUCAAAGACAGGGAUUUUUUUAUAGUCACUAAAAUCCCGCCCCCAAAACUCCAAAAAGAGAUUUUUUUUUGUUUUGUUUUGUUUCUGUUAUUUUGUAUUAUAUUUCCAAUGUGAAAAUUGAUAUACCUGACUCAUAAUGUUAGAAAAACAAGCAAACAAACAACAACUUGGGGAAAGCCAAAUUCCACCUUCUACUAUUACUAUGAAUACAAACAAAAAGUGGUUAUGAAUUACUUUCCAUUGAUAGAAGGAAUUUAUUUAUCCAUUUAUUUUACUGGAGUGUCUAUUGAAAUUGAAGUUCUUGAUUAAUGAUCUGCAGGAAGUAAAGCUGAAGAAAUCUGCUUUUGUAACCACAAGGAAACUCUAAAAGGAUGUGGUGGCUUACACACUUACCCUAACCAAGACUGGAGAUAUAAAGCAUGCAAACACACCUGAGCAGAACGUCAUAUAGAGGCAACCUCCCCACAAUGAAUGGCUCUGAGCCCAGGCAUCCCUUUGUUGCGGUAUCAGGAAAAAAACAGAUAGAUGUUGCCAUUUGCCUAGGUGACUGAGAAGCAAUUUCAAGCAACAGGGAAGAUCUGCCCUGGUACUGUUCAUCACUUUGUUACUAGCAGAGAAAUUAGUCACGAUGUAAAUAAAUAAUGGAGGGAUUGUAAAAGGCGGGGUGAUGCAGCACUUUUCUCCAUCUUUUGAUUGCUGCCUUGCAGAAGCCAUUGCCAUGGAGAAGUGCAAUCUGCAGCGCGGUAGCUUUCCUCUGCAAAAAGAUGGCAGCAUGGUUAGGCACAUCACCUUCUGUGAAUGCCUCCCAGUUUUAUAACCAGAAUGCCCUUCUGAUUUUAAAAACAAAUCUUUUAGCAGCUUGUAAAGGGCUUCUCCCUCCGAUCACCAUAUCCCCACACCUCUGCUGCAGGAGGCUUUCUUUUCAGCUUCCUUCUGGUUUCCUACGGACUGGAAAGUCCAGAGGUGCAAAACAGCUGUGAAAGUGGUAGCACAUGCUGCAUCUCCACAAGAGCAUGGCUGGGAAUUUGUAACUUUAUUUUGAAUCCAAUUUUGCAGGUUAAAAGGAUGAAAGUGCACUGUGUAAAUAUUCAAGGUCCGCAUGCCUCUCUGGAUCGAGAUUGUUGCAAAAUUAAAUUUCAUUUAUUAAACCAGAGCAUUACUUCUGUUGAGAGACCACCACCGCUUCUCCCCAGAAGUAUGCUUAAAAUUUUCCAUGGUCUUUUGAGGUACCAAUAAGUUAUUCUUAAUAUUUGCUGCUUUGUACUUCCAUAUAUACUGUUUGCUUAUAUUAACGGUAAGCAUGUUCUCUGCUUUCUGUAACUGCUACCAGCAGAAACUUCAUUUCUGAGAGCCAAACAACACAAGUCCUGGGGAUUUCAGCUUGAGGAAAACAAAUCUUAUACACACAAGAGUGUUUUGUAGGCCUAGAGCACAGCUAUCUGUCACUUAAUAAAAGAUAUAUCCUGCGAUUUUUUGGUCUGCAGACAGACCCGAAUAGAGGUUUGUGGUUGUGCCUGAGCUUGGUGCCACGCACACCUUUCCAGUUUAGCUUCCUUUCCAUUUCAAGGUCAUGGGAAAAUUCCUUUUGCUGCUCCUUCCACUUCAUAUUCAUUCAUCAUUUCAUAUGGUAACUACACAGAGUGGUGUCAUGUGUUGUGCAGCUCAACCACACUGAAAGCUGCCAAAGUUAAAAAUCAAUUUUUUCUCUGAACCAGAAACAAGGAGCUGUUUCUUAUCACACUUCAAGAAAGUGAAAAGUAGAACUAGUUCAAAAGCUGUGGGUUUUAGUUUUCCCAUUCCUCAUAUGUCCUUGGGAAUUCAGAAACUUUUUGUGAUCAUUUUAGACUGAAAGCAUGAGCUUUUGAUGAUUUCCUUAGAAAAACAACCUUAAAAUGCUGCUCAAUAUAUAACCAAUAACAUAAUUUGAGAGGUCACUAAAUCAUGUUCCUGUACAUCACUUCUUUUUGUUUCUACCACUACCCAUCCUGAACAGGAGGAGCAGUUGUGUGACACUGGGGGCUGGAUGAUGGAAAUUCAGCCCAGAUUUGGCAUUUGAAUUUUCUUGUGUUCCAGAGUUAAGCAGAAAUGAAUGCUAAAAGUCACUUUAACUAAUGUGUAGGAUGCUUUUCCUCACUGCGAUCUGUAGCUGGUGGCUUCACAGGUAAUGCCAAAGGGCUUGAUCCCAGAGUUAAUAAAGACCCAGACAUUUAUUGAUUUA